Molecule: ribosomal RNA, 484 nt
Filed under: uncultured bacterium
Lineage: Bacteria
Description: partial 16S ribosomal RNA
Rfam family: Bacterial small subunit ribosomal RNA
Source: RNAcentral
AUUGAACGCUGGCGGCAGGCCUAACACAUGCAAGUCGAGCGGAUGAAGGGAGCUUGCUCCUGGAUUCAGCGGCGGACGGGUGAGUAAUGCCUAGGAAUCUGCCUGGUAGUGGGGGAUAACGUCCGGAAACGGGCGCUAAUACCGCAUACGUCCUGAGGGAGAAAGUGGGGGAUCUUCGGACCUCACGCUAUCAGAUGAGCCUAGGUCGGAUUAGCUAGUUGGUGGGGUAAAGGCCUACCAAGGCGACGAUCCGUAACUGGUCUGAGAGGAAGAUCGGUCACACUGGAACUGGGACACGGUCCAGACUCCUACGGGAGGCAGCAGUGGGGAAUAUUGGACAAUGGGCGAAAGCCUGAUCCAGCCAUGCCGCGUGUGUGAAGAAGGUCUUCGGAUUGUAAAGCACUUUAAGUUGGGAGGAAGGGCAGUAAGUUAAUACCUUGCUGUUUUGACGUUACCAACAGAAUAAGCACCGGCUAACUUCGUG